GAUGAACGCUGGCGGCGUGCCUAAUACAUGCAAGUCGAGCGAACAGACGAGGAGCUUGCUCCUCUGACGUUAGCGGCGGACGGGUGAGUAACACGUGGAUAACCUACCUAUAAGACUGGGAUAACUUUGGGAAACCGGAGCUAAUACCGGAUAAUAUAUUGAACCGCAUGGUUCAAUAGUGAAAGACGGUUUUGCUGUCACUUAUAGAUGGAUCCGCGCCGCAUUAGCUAGUUGGUAAGGUAACGGCUUACCAAGGCGACGAUGCGUAGCCGACCUGAGAGGGUGAUCGGCCACACUGGAACUUAGACACGGUCCAGACCCCUAAGGGAGGCAGCAGUAGGGAAUCUUCCGCAAUGGGCGAAAGCCUGACGGAGCAACGCCGCGUGAGUGAUGAAGGUCUUCGGAUCGUAAAACUCUGUUAUUAGGGAAGAACAAAUGUGUAAGUAACUAUGCACGUCUUGACGGUACCUAAUCAGAAAGCCACGGCUAACUACGUG
This 497-nucleotide ribosomal RNA is filed under the name uncultured bacterium. Its description in RNAcentral is "partial 16S ribosomal RNA". It matches the Rfam family "Bacterial small subunit ribosomal RNA", at positions 28 to 507 of the family's 1533-position model. The record is from RNAcentral.